AACGAACGCUGGCGGCAGGCUUAACACAUGCAAGUCGAACGCAUCGCAAGAUGAGUGGCAGACGGGUGAGUAACGCGUGGGAAUCUACCCUUUUCUACGGAAUACCGCAUGGAAACGUGUGCUAAUACCGUAUACGCCCGGGGACGGGGAAAGAUUUAUCGGCGAAGGAUGAGCCCGCGUUGGAUUAGCUAGUUGGUGGGGGAAGGGCCUACCAAGGCGACGAUCCAUAGCUGGUCUGAGAGGAUGAUCAGCCACAUUGGGACUGAGACACGGCCCAAACUCCUACGGGAGGCAGCAGUGAGGAAUAUUGGACAAUGGGCGCAAGCCUGAUCCAGCCAUGCCGCGUGAGUGAUGAAGGCCCUAGGGUUGUAAAGCUCUUUCACCGGUGAAGAUAAUGACGGUAACCGGAGAAGAAGCCCCGGCUAACUUCGUGCCAGCAGCCGCGGUAA
Molecule: ribosomal RNA, 449 nt
Filed under: uncultured bacterium
Lineage: Bacteria
Description: partial 16S ribosomal RNA
Rfam family: Bacterial small subunit ribosomal RNA
Source: RNAcentral